UGCAGAUGAUGUGAAUGAAUAUUUGCUAUCUGAGCAUCAGUGCUGAGAUAUACCCACCAAGAUCUCUGAUGCA
This is a small nucleolar RNA of Polyodon spathula (Mississippi paddlefish), 73 nucleotides long. RefSeq annotates it as small nucleolar RNA SNORD24. The record is from RefSeq and is a predicted model, not a curated record. Lineage: Eukaryota; Metazoa; Chordata; Actinopteri; Acipenseriformes; Polyodontidae. The transcript has a single exon.